This 10558-nucleotide long non-coding RNA is filed under the name Hordeum vulgare. Its description in RNAcentral is "long non-coding RNA (HVUL_LNC011858)". Lineage: Eukaryota; Viridiplantae; Streptophyta; Magnoliopsida; Poales; Poaceae. The record is from RNAcentral.
UCUAGCGCUCGAGGUGGGUGGCCUCCUGCUCCGGCGUCGCGGCGAAGUGGAUGGGGGGCGCGCUCACCCACUCGCGAUACUAGCCCGUCCACGUGUAGGCCUCCUCCGGCCAAGUGGGUGGAGGCGGGGAGCGCUUCCGCGUCGCCGGCUUGGGCUGGAUGGUGGCGAUGGUGCUUCCGCACGCGUACUUAAAAAAGGAUGCUUCCUGAGGCUCACAAGUGGGCCCGCUGUCGGUGGUCGUCAUAAAUAAGACGACCGGUGUCGGCUAGGUGGCCUAUAGGUGGGAACGCGGUGGACGUCGAGGAGACGCGCGGCGCGUCCGCUCCGCGUCCGCGCCGACGCAUUCCAGGCGUAAUUUUGGGACGGAAAUGGAUCUACGUGGACGCCAGACGGACGCGAUUUGCGUUUGGGUCGGCACGUUGGGCCUCCACUUUUAUCCGCGUCGACCCAAACAGACGCAUGCGGAUGAAAUGGGUCGUUCCAUUGAAGUCGUUCUAAUAUCUCAGCAUAUCAUUAGGUUAAAAACCAUGUUGAGUGCUCAGAUCAAGGUUUUUAAUACAUCAACUCACUCCGUUAUUUAAGAAGUACAGUAGGUUCCCCUUUGUAUCUUUUUCGUUGAAAUGGAAGAUUGCCUCGGGCUCUGCAUUAGUACGAUGCAUGCAGCCAUGCUAUUAAACAAAUAGUUAAUAGUUAAUAUGGUAUGUUGUUUGAUACAAACUCGUAAGAAGAGCGAAAAUGCAUUAAACAUUAAAAGUGUCACAACCAGUGAAAAUAAAAAAAGAUGACUAAAUACCUAGCCUAUUGUUGGAUCAUCAUCCAAAUUGCUUGUAAGUAUCUCGUGCAACCGUCUCCUAACGGUUGCAUCCAAUAGCCAUAUGCUUCUUGACUCAGGCAUGGCCGAGUAAGGGUCACAUACGGAUUCAAGCAGUUGCUCUGUAGAUGACCUGAAAAAUAAUGUAAUAAUUUGUGUGUUAAAAAUCACAUCAUUUCAACAGUUCAAUAUAAGCUCAAAGUAAUGCACACACUCUGACUUAAAUAUGUGCCGCAGUUUUAGACUUUACUCUAGGUAGCCAAGUCCCAAAUAGGUGGUUAUAUUAUUGGAAGGACUGGCCUUAUAGGCCACAUGUCCCUCGUAUAUCUACCUAUAUUUGGUUAAAAAGACGUACAGGAAAACAUAAGAACAUAAAAGAAAUUAAUACAAGGUCACAAGCUCUCUACAAUAAGUCAGAAGAAAGCCUCUUGCAGCCCUUUGUAUGUUUUCCUUCUAGAUCAGAAACCAGCUAUUUCAUUUCCACUUUAAAUCUCCACCGGCGUAUGUACAGAUUUGGCUGUAGACCUUGGAAAACGAAGUCAUUUCUAGCAUUUCAGAUGAUUCAUGUCACCAUGAUGAUGAUCUUUAUAAAAGGAAGAGGCAGAUGCAACCUCUGCUUUCUUCUUGGAAGUGUCUUAGCAACUUUUUUUCAUGAGUACGCAAAUUUUGUGUAUAUUUUCAUUGAUAGAAGAAGAAAAAGCAAGACCAAAAUAUGAUACAACACAUGACACGAAUGCAAGAAGACGUAGACAUAAUGCGCAUAGCAGAGAGACAUGGAAUGCUGGGACCAAACAGAGGAAACGACACGACAAAACUCGCCUAGCAUUGAGAAGCUUCCCAAAUAAACCAUGACGACCAACAUCUCCAAUUCCAUCGGCUGGGAUGCCACAAGCGAACAAGACAUCACCUUCCUAAAGGGGAACAACGUCAAGAUGCGGUCGUCGUCUAGUUCGAAUAAUCCGCCUAGAGUUUCCCUUGAUGCUCAAAGAUGGAAAAGAUGAAAGCUAUGGCAGCACCUCCAGGAAGGUGGUGACGGCACCCGUAGGUGCCACCGCUACCAGCAUCGGCAAGCCGAGCAGGGAUAUUGCACUGGCCUUGGUCUGAGAAAACCAAGCGUUGGGAUAGACAUUAGAGAAGAGGAAGUCAAGUCACGAGCCAAAAACUUCAUCGCGGGAAGGGGAGCUGCGCUCGCCACCGAAGGAGGCACCAGACGCAUAUGGAUGGACGGGGUACAGAUUUGGCGGGAGCAUGGGCGAGGCUCAGAUGUGGGCGGGGUUGGGCGGUCGGGCGAAGAGAGGAACGAUGCAGGGGAUGCAACGACGGGCAGUGACAUGGACUGUCGAUAAACAAAAUGCAUAAGUUGGGACCAAAGACUAUGGAGUCUGUUUUUCAAGGCUAUGCCAAACAUAAAAUUGGCUAUAGUUUUCUUGUGAUGAAAUCUGACAUACCUGACGUGAAGGUUGGUACGAUCAUGGUGUCUAAAGACGCUACAUUCUUUGAGGAUAUUUUUUCCAUGAGAGAUAUGCAAAGCACUUUUAGACUGAAAUUUAAUGAGACUUGUGAACCUGUCAUUCUGGUGGAAUAAUAUGAAUGAACAUGUGAUGAAAAUAUUGAGGGGGUGACGAGGAAGCUCUUGGUAGGGGUAAGAGAUACAUGACUGCAAAGUCCUUUGAUGGUGAUUUACUUGUAUACCUCAUGGAUGAUACUCCCACUCUCAUUCACAAGAUUAUGCAUCUUCGGAUGCUGACUAUUGGAAGGAUGCAAUCCGUAGUGAGAAAGAUUUCAUCUUGGCUAACGGGACAAGGGAGGUCGCUGACCGUGCCUAUGGAAAAUCAAUGGGAUACAAGUGGAUGUUCGAAAGGAAGAUUAGGCUUGAUGGUACGAUUGAAAAGUACAAGAUUUGGCUUGUGGUCAAGAGUUAUACACAAAAAUAAGAAGAAGAAUUCUUCAAUACAUGCUCACAUGUGGCCAGACUAGCAACCAUUUGAGUGUUACUCAUGUUUGGCUGCCUCCCACGGUCUCCUCAUCCAACAGGUGGAUGUUAAGACGACUUUCUUAAACAGAGAGAUAGGCGAGGAAAUUUACAUGCCACAACCAUAUGGAUUUGUAUUGAAUGGAAUUAAAGAUGUGUAAGUUAUUGAAAUCUUUCUAUGGUCUGAAGCAAGCACCUAAGCAAUGGCAUGACAAGUUAGAUAAAAACAAUUGACAUCUGCUUCCUUUGUUGUGAAUAAAGCUAGCAAAUGUCUAUACUAUCGUCAUGGUGGGAGUCAAGGAUUUAUCAUGUGUAUGUAUAUCGAUGGCAUACUAAUAUUUGGAACCAACCUCAAAAUGGUUGAGGAGGUUAAGGACUUUGCUUUGAAAUGAAAUACCUAGGUGUGAAUGAUGUUGUCUUGAACAUCAAGCUAAUGCGAGUGUAAUUACACUUCUUCAAUCCCACUAUGUUGAGAAGAUUUUGAGUCAUUUUGGCUAUUUGAACUACAAACCUUCUCCAACACCAUAUGAUCCUAGUGUGCAGAUUUAAAAGUUUGAACGAUCGGCUAUAGAUUAGAUGAGAUACUCACAAGUUAUUGGUUCACUCAUGUACCUAGCUUGUGCUACUCGGCCUAACAUCUCUUUUGUUGCGAGCAAACUGAGCCGGUUUGUUUCCAAACUGGGAGGUGUGUAUUGGAAUGUUGUUGAAAGAGUCAUGUGCUAUUUGCAAGGUACUUUGAGCCACAAACUUCACUAUAUCGGGUACCCAACGACACUUGAGGGGUAUAGUUAUGUGAAUUGGAUCUCUGAUGCUGAUGAGAUGAAAGCCACAAGUAUGUAUGUGUUUGCACUUGAUGGUGGUGGUGUUUCCUGGCAGUCUCGCAAGUAGACAAUCUUAACGAGAUCGACUAUGAAAGUAUAACUCACAACAUUGGACACAACUUGUGUUAGAGCAGAACAGCUUCAAGAGCUUUUGAUGGAUUUGUUAGUGGUUCCCAAGCCAGUUUCGGCUAUAUAUCCUUAUGAACUAUCACAAUCAGACAGUGAUUGUCAAGGCAAAGAGUUCAAAGAAUAACAUGCAAUCCAUAAAGCACAUAUGAAGAAGACUGAAAUUUAUGAGGCAUUGAAGAAACUCCAGAGUUAUAGCGUUGGAUUAUAUCCAGUCGGCUAAGAAUCCGGUACGUCCCUUCAUGAAAGGGCUAUCACAUGUUGUGAUAGAAAAUGCAUCGUCUGAGCUUGGUAUGACACCCACAUGAGUUGCCAUGAUGGUAACCCAACAUGUGUGAUCAAAGAUCCCACGGAUUAGUACCAGAGAAAAACAAACAGUGGUUAACUAAGUAGAGUAUCUUUACUACCCCAUGUCAUUGGAGAUGCAAUAUUUUCACAAUAUUUAAGGCAUGUUGGCAUUUGUCUUAAUGUGUUCUGAAGCUCGUGUAAGCAAGAUGCUAUCCCACAAAGCGAUUUUUGGAGGAGCACACGUAUGUGACCCCGACUCCUCACAAUCUAUGAGAUAUGAUAAUCUCUAGGAAGCUCAUAAACAGAUUAGAAGUGUGACUAAUAUGCUCCACCGUUGGGGUUAGACUUCAACAAUCAAGUAUAAUCUCAUAAUUGGUGCAACUUCUGCACGCUCAAUUAAAAAUUCAAGGCAUAGUCCAUUAUCAAAUUGCCAAGAAGUCUAGUCUUUUUCUCUAGGUGGAUGUUCAACCCUAACCGUUCUCUAGGUGGAUGUUCUCUAGGUGGAUGUUCAACCCCAAUUGUUCUCGCUAGCUGGAUAUGUUGUGUUCAUGAUUUGAUUCUAUGUUCUGUCCUGGCUGCGUCGAAUUUCCCUUGUCGCUCUCGCGGGCGGCAGGGCGAACCCUAGCCACCGCCGGUCAGGACUCCCCCCCAUUCCCCCUCCUCCCUGUCGUCUCGAGAUGGCGCCUCCGGGAGAAACCUGGUGGCAUCGCUGGCGGCAGGGCCUCCUUUCCUCCGUAUCUGGUGAGAUGCGGUGCGAGACGCAGGUCCCUGAAGAGGAGCACGCCGUUUGCACGGGACGGCGCGACGGCGACUUGGGCAGCGUGCCGAUGGUGCUGUUGUUUGGCAGAGCGGCCGUGGCUGCGUGAAAUCUGGUGGCAUGGAUCUGUGUGUGGGGAAGGAAAGUUUGCACACUGCGGCGGCACUCCUUCAUCAGAUCCAGACGACAGGGGCCACUGGCGUCCGGCUAGGCUGGGCCAUCUUCCGGUGUGGUGGCAUGUCAGUAGGUGUGCUGCUGGCGGGGGUCAUCCUCGUUGCCCCGUGGGGCUGGGGUUGGGAGCGGGGUGCAGGCGGGCCUCGACUUUGUUUGGAGGGGGUGUGGUUGGUGGCGUGCCAUGCCUAGGUGCAUGGGUGCUCUCGGCAAGCCCCGCCCGGAUCUGGAGUUGCCAGAUCUUGCGGGUGGCACCGUUUGCCCUCCCGCGGCGGUGGGCAGCAGUGUGGGGAUGGCCACCGUGGAAUUCUCCUUGUUUGUGGCGUUUGCCUCUUCCGAAGUCUCGAUUUUUUUCUCGUCUCCUCUGUCCGGGUCGAGGUUUGGCGGGUGGCGCGGUCCUCGGGUUCUUUUUACUCUAAGGUGAUGUUCUGCCGGUUGACAAUCCUUAUGGACAAUUGACGAGUUCCGGAAUGCUUCGCAAAAGAUCUUCACUAGGUGCUUGUCGCCUCUAGAUUGCUGGAUCGAAUUGGAUUUGGUCGUGUGCGUCUCAAUUUCACACCGAGUGGCUUCGGGAGAGUGUGGUGCGAAGUUUUGGUUUAUGUUGAUGUUAUGGGACACGUCGGUAUUUUGAUUUCCAUGGUGAAGACAGUGACGGAGAACGUCAUGGCGACUGAGAUCCAAUGCCUUGUAAUGGCGGAUCAAGUCAUCGCAACAAUGAGGACUUUGUUUGGUGAUUCGUAACUCGUAGCAGCGGUAUCGGCAAGUGGGGGCGCCAACACACGCGGAGUACAGAGUCUUAGCUUUCAGAUGAAAACCAAAGGCCUGGCCUUAAUUGGUUGUGUCUGGCAGUGAACUUGUUGAAGGCAUUGUUUUGAGAGUGCAUAUCUUCUCCAAGAUGAAAACCUAAUAUCUACAAUCGGGCGGUGACAGUGCUUGUGCACUGUUUCCUUUUUGAAGGAGUUGCUUUUGAAGAAUUUGGACUUCGGUGAUGUCUAGGUGGUGGUUCAUGCUGCAGCCACAAGAAAUCGAUCUCUGUAGCGGGAUCUUUUCUUUAUUUAUAUACCUUUUGGUUGUAUGCAUCUGUAAUGUCUUUACGACAUUGCGUUGUUGCGAAGACGUAAUUGAUAUAUUUAUGAUAUUAAUUUAUUCUUCUUGUAAUAAAUGUUCAGUCCGGGCUUACAUGUUUAUGUUCCGCUAUGAGCUUCAUAACGUACUUGUCAUGUUCAUGUUUUGGUUAGGGAUUAAAUCAAUCACAAAAGUGCUAAUAUAUCCAGCAGUUUCUUACUUCUCCACUAGCGAUGCCCAGCUAAACCCUUGUAAAUAUUAACUCUUUUAGUUCAUCCUAGAGCCUUGUAAAUAUUAACUCUUUUAGUUCACCCUACUCUAGGGUUGUUUCUUUUUUCUCUACGGGCUAUGCCUAACUAAACCCUUGUGUGUUCCAACUAUCUUAAUUAAAUGAAACAGUCUCUAGUUUUCGAUAAAAAAUAUUUGAAGGUGUUUCUUUUUAUCGAAGAUAUUUAUAACAUGACUUAUUGUGAAUUGGAGGGAGUAUCUUAUCUAUUAUGGACUCCACUAUAUGUAGCGGCGCGGCACGUGCGCCUUGCCGCAUGGCGGCCCAACUAAUUACCAAUGUAAUGUAGCAUGCAAAAUUAGUGCCUUCCCUCCGCUGCUUUACUUGAAAAAGCCUGUCAUGUCGUAGAAAAUCCACGCUCUAUCUCUCCCAUGCAUGCACGCAAUGUUGUCAUCAUAAUUUCCUCUCAUGUUUGAAAUUCAAAAAGUUUUAUCUCUAAAACAGUUAAUUUGAUAGACGUUCUGUUUUCAGCAUUGACUUUGUUGUGACGAGAUCUUUGAAACUAGAUCCCAUAUUGACAUGUUUUGACAACAAAAAAAUCCGUCCGUACUUACCAUAUUGUUGCAUGUACUUGUCAUAUUUUUAAACACUCACUUGUCUGACAAUAAAUAACUUAAUUCCCAUAUUUUUACAAUUGCAUGUAAAAUAUGACACUUUGAAUUAAUUAAUUGCAAGCAGACAAAAAUCUUUUUUGGCAAUGACAUGUAAAAAGUUGACAACUCAUCAUAUCUAAAAUUGGCAAGCACAAUAAAUCAUUACUGGCAAUCACCUGUAAACAUGUCAAAAAAUGUAUGGUUAUAACCACCAAAGGAUAACAAAUCAUGGCAAUUACUUAUAAUAAAAAUCACAAUUCGAGAUAGUUAAACUGGCAAGCACAUCUAUGACAUUGUUUUGAAAAAGCUAUCUUUGAUAUGCAUGCAGAUUGAGAGGUGAUAGUACAAAAAAAUGAUGACAGUUUAUAAAUGCAGCUAAUUAGCUCCCUGCCUUUAGCAAAUGCGAGUAGGUGAGUAGCAAAGUAAACAAAACGCAAUGUAGCGUAGCACUGUAGCAUUUAGCAUAAAGUAUUGUAACUAGACAGUGACAUGUACACAUUAUAACAUCGACGGGGCCACCGCAUGCAAACGUGGUUGUGCGUGCCUGCCGGCCGCAUGAAAAGGACGCCAUGCGGCGUCUUUAAUUUAGAUUCUCCCAUUUAUUAUUAUUGUUAUUUCAUAGAAAUACCCGUAUUACUCACAGAAAAAAAUCAUGUCCAUUUAUUUUUCACUCAGACCGAUUUAUAACAGAGAAUUGAUCUCAAACUUUUGUGCCCUUUAGUGCUGUAUUAGCGUAAGUUUUUUUCUGAGAAUCGUAUUCUAUUAGACGUGUGCGACUAAUAAUAGUAAUCAAUCAAAUUUUGUUGUUCAUCCUAUUCAUGGUUGUUUUUUUAACCAAGAAACUAUUUUCAUACAUAAAUGUAAAUAAAAAAGUAUGUUACACAAGGUGAGGAAAAAAAUAGAAAAAAAGGAAAAGAGUGCAAAAGAAUAUGAUACGACUAGCAAAUUCCUGCUCUAGGGAAACACUCCAUUGAUUAGAGGUUAUUAUCUACUCACUGUCUGAACAUUUAACACUCGACACGGUGUUAUUUGCAACUAUAACCUGUAGCAUACUCUAUUGUCGUGUCAAGUAUGAGCUACGGUACUUUUCUUUUACUGGAUAACAAAGACAUGAAGACUGUUGUGUUUUGUUCAUUACUGUAGUUGGAUUCUCUGAAAUCGAUCCAAUGCCUCACCGAGUAUGAUUAUUCCAGGUUUUGGCCACUUUUUCAGUAGGAAGGGUGGUAGCAUCCGGGCACCCGAAUUUCAAGUCGGGUGAUCUUGUUUGGGGCAUGAGCGGAUGUGAAGAAUACACUUUGAUCACUAAUCCAGAGUCUCUUUUCAAGAUCAACCAUCCUGAAGUGCCUCUGUCGUACUACACUGGUGUUCUUGGUGAGUAAACUUUUUAUUUUGUCAGAAGCAAAGUGCCAUAUUUAAUCUCAAAAUUUCAUUUUUCAUCAAAUGAAGCACGUACUUGCUUUUCUCAUUGACUAUAUCUGGUUCACAAACCAGAAUUUUGGUACAAGCUAGCGAAUAAAACUCUCUUUUCUUUCAUAUAAAAUAAAGAUCGACCAAGGUUCUUUCGAUUCACAAAGCAGAAUUGCAAGAGUUCCCAACUUCUACCUAUGGCACCCUAGUUUUUCUGAACACUAUAUGGCACCCUAGUUUGUCACCAUUUAUUUGUUCACUUUACCUUGUGGUGAUGUUAAUUGGCAUGCUUGACUACUUGUUUUACAUAAAACAACUUAUAUAUAGAAACUACAAAUGAACUUUCCAAAAUUCUGGAAACAUGUACUCCCUCCGUCCCAAAGUAAGUGUCUCAAGCUUAGUACAAAUUUAUACUAGAGCUAGUAGAAAGUUGAGACACUUAUUUUGGAACAAAGGGAGUACAUGGUAUGCUAGUUACUUAAUGUGGACAGGAAUUGGAAUAAAGAUACACUAUUGGACAGUAAGGGAAUACACUAGUCCGAACUCUCAUAAAUCUAAGAUGGAGAUUCAUAUAUGCAUGCACCUUCCUUCAAGGAAUCAUACCUUGGAAUUUGACAGCGACAAAUCAAAAUGGAUGGCAACGUGCGGCAGGCUUGGUGAACCAUCUUGAAAUCAUUCAAAUACAAAAGAACCAAAAUGGAUGGCUAAAUUACAUGUAGCAAAAGAAUAAGACAUGAAGCUGGUCACUGCUAUGAUUUAGGCUCUUUGCCCCAAAACGGAAAUUGGUAUGAUCUAAGCUUAUCUUCUGUAUAGUCUAACAUGCGAGGUUACUACCUCUAGGCUCUAGCGAUGUUUAAAAUUUGAUAAAAUACACUAUUUAUUUUUUCAUUAAAUUUCCAAGAACUUUGCUAAUGCAGGCAUGGCUGGACUUACUGCAUAUGCUGGAUUUUUCGACAUAUCAAAACCUAAGAAAGGUGACUAUGUUUUCGUGUCAUCAGCGUCGGGUGCUGUCGGGCAGCUUGUUGGACAACUUGCCAAGAUCAAUGGGUGCUAUGUGGUUGGCAGUGCUGGUUCCGAUGAGAAGGUCUUUUUUUGUUUGCAUACUCAUUUUUUCACUUGUUUUGUCUCACUGAGAUGGUCUAAUAGUUCACUCCCACACUUGAACGAUGAAUUGGUUGAACAACUUCAGGAUAUAUUUUUUUCACUGACCUAAAAUAUACUCCGUCAUGGUAUGAAAAUUAAUGUGAUGGCUUUUACAAUGGUUUCAUGAUUUAACAUAGGGAUCACAAUACUAGUUAUUUCUAGUAACUGGAUUAUAUUCGAGUAUUCCAUUGAGAAGAAGAAAGUCGAAUGUAUGCACAAUUUCAACGGUAACCAUUUUAUAGUAACCUCUGGCCAAUUGGCAAGGUGCUAUUUACCGUUCUUGUCCUCUUGCCAAAGAAAUCCUAGCCCUAAAGAAGUUAAUCAGUGUAAUCAAUUCAUUAUGGAUUAAAAAGAUGGAAAGCAUGUAGUCGGGAACAUUACUCAUACAAGUUCCAAGUGGAGCCAUUUUACCUCCUGAAGUCAGAAAUCUAGCAUGCAAGUAACAAGUUAUCCUCACUUUCUCUUCUAUGGUUUUAAUAUUAUGUGGAGGAAUGCAAAAGUCCCAUGGUUGACUUUGAAAGGUAAAAGUAUGAGAAAUUUGCUUUUGUCUUUAUGGUAACCUCAGGUCAAUCUCCUAAAAACCAAGUUUGGCUUCGACGAUGCUUUUAACUACAAGAAGGAAGAGGACCUCAACGCCGCACUAAAGAGGUCUGAAAGCCAUUUUCUUUAUCUUCUAAGUUCCAAAUAUCGCCGAUGGCUGCUAACCUCUUUCACAAAAACGAAAUGAAAGCUAAACAUAGUUCUCUCCCUCUUGAUAUUUCCUUUUAGAUGCUUCCCGCGGGGCAUCGACAUCUACUUCGAGAACGUCGGCGGCGCGAUGCUAGCCGCGGUGCUGCCCAAUAUGAGGAUGAAUGGCCGUAUCGCCGUCUGUGGGAUGAUCUCGCAGUACAACCUGGAGCAGCCGAAUGGUGCCCCUAACCUCUUCUGCCUUGUUGCCAAGCGCAUCCGCAUGGAGGGAUUCAUGGUUCUGGACUAUUUCGGCACCUACAACAAAUUUGAGGAGGAGAUAGUGGGUUACCUCAAGGAAGGGAAGAUCACAGUUGUUGAGGAUGUUGCGGAGGGGAUCGAGAACGUGCCGACGGCGCUCAUCGGACUCUUCUCCGGGCGCAACAUUGGGA